Molecule: ribosomal RNA, 497 nt
Filed under: uncultured bacterium
Lineage: Bacteria
Description: partial 16S ribosomal RNA
Rfam family: Bacterial small subunit ribosomal RNA
Source: RNAcentral
GAUGAACGCUGGCGGCGUGCCUAAUACAUGCAAGUCGAGCGAACAGACGAGGAGCUUGCUCCUCUGACGUUAGCGGCGGACGGGUGAGUAACACGUGGAUAACCUACCUAUAAGACUGGGAUAACUUCGGGAAACCGGAGCUAAUACCGGAUAAUAUAUUGAACCGCAAGGUUCAAUAGUGAAAGACGGUUUUGCUGUCACUUAUAGAUGGAUCCGCGCCGCAUUAGCUAGUUGGUAAGGUAACGGCUUACCAAGGCGACGAUGCGUAGCCGACCUGAGAGGGUGAUCGGCCACACUGGAACUGAGACACGGUCCAGACUCCUACGGGAGGCAGCAGUAGGGAAUCUUCCGCAAUGGGCGAAAGCCUGACGGAGCAACGCCGCGUGAGUGAUGAAGGUCUUCGGAUCGUAAAACUCUGUUAUUAGGGAAGAACAAAUGUGUAAGUAACUAUGCACGUCUUGACGGUACCUAAUCAGAAAGCCACGGCUAACUACGUG